AACCUGCCGUAUGCAGGGGGACAACAGUCAGAAAUGACUGCUAAUACCGCAUAAGCACACAAUGCUGCAUGGCAUGGUGUGAAAAGAUUUAUCGGCAUACGAUGGCCCCGCGUCUGAUUAGCCAGUUGGCAGGGUAACGGCCUACCAAAGCAACGAUCAGUAGCCGGCUUGAGAGAGUGACCGGCCACAUUGGGACUGAGACACGGCCCAGACUCCUACGGGAGGCAGCAG
This 231-nucleotide ribosomal RNA is filed under the name uncultured bacterium. RNAcentral describes it as "partial 16S ribosomal RNA". It matches the Rfam family "Bacterial small subunit ribosomal RNA", at positions 123 to 354 of the family's 1533-position model. The record is from RNAcentral.